RNAcentral lists this long non-coding RNA (2308 nucleotides) under Homo sapiens (human). RNAcentral's name for it is "non-protein coding lnc-CTTNBP2-3:4". The record is from RNAcentral. Lineage: Eukaryota; Metazoa; Chordata; Mammalia; Primates; Hominidae.
GCGAACGAGAGGCGGAAAAAAGGAAGACGCUUCCUGAAGUUGGGGGUAUGAGACAGAAGUUGGGGGUAUGAGACAGAAGUUGGGGGAGAGUGGGUUUCCAAUCCGAGUAAAAGGCAGUGUGGUGGAAGUUAACAAGAGAAAAUGUUGAGACGAGGUAGAGCAGGCAGGAAUAAACGAAGUAAGGUGUUUUUAUUAGGAGUGAAGGAGAGAGACGAGUGCUGUUGUGUGAAACGUAGGUGCGGGUAGUUGAAUCCCUAGUUUUCUGCAGCAGAAGCCGAAAAUAACGCUAAAAAUAAGUUCAGUUGCCCGGGACAGAGUUGCGCACGUUAUAACCACACGGUGUACGCCUCUUAAGAACUCAGCAGUGAAAUACACUUUCGUAUGUUCUGCUUUUGUCUCUAAAAGUGUUCCAAAAUGGAGGUGUUUUUACUUUUUAAAGAAACUAAAUGCAAAUAGGCAAAGGUGUGUGACCAUCCCUUAGAAAACGAAUGUCCACGCUUCUGCCACGCCAGGAUGGUCUACCUUUCUUCAGGGUGAAAUUAGUAAGUAAAAGGCUGCUGCAGCACCGAGAAAGGACCGAUGCAGGAAGGAUGCAGGAAGGCACCAAACUUGGUUCUAAUCUUGGCUCUGCUAACAAAUUGGUGUCAUUGCACAGGUCACUUCAAUUCUUCUGGGCCUCAGUUUCGUUAGAUAGUCCCAUAGGUAUCAUUUCAGAUAUUUCCCAAUGCGAUACUGUUCCCACUUCAUUUACUGUUGCCCUAACUUGAGAGAGCUUGAAGUUAGAAAGAGAUUUAUACACAAAACACCAGCAGGAGCGAUUUCCCUUUUUUGCAAAAUAUCUUUAUAAUUUCAGUUAAACAUGUAUUUUCUUAAGAUUUGUGGCUUUGUAAUAACUCUUGCAAUGUCAGCAGUUUUCCUCGGAAAAGGAAGCAUUUCUUAAUUAGAGCAUACCCACAAGAUACUCCCAAAUAGUUAAUAUUUUAUAUUCUGGAACUUAUUCCUAUCUGUUUGAAAUCAAAUGUAGUCAGGAAUUAGAUUGUGAAUGUCUCAUAUUCUCAGGGUAACAAAUGAAAGUGUCUUCCGCUAAUGAAAGAACAAAGAUAAUUGUGUGAUUUGCAAAUGUUAGGUGUUGAACCAAAACCCAAAGACUAAUUAAUGAUUAACGAGGUGUUAGGAGUUUUGUUAAAAAAAGAAAUUGCUGGGCAUGUUGGUGGGUUCCUGUAACCCCAGCUACUCUGGAGGGUGAGGCAGGAGAAUUGCUUCAACCCGGGAGGCGGAGGUUACAGUGAGCUGAGAUCACGCCAUUCCACUCCAGCCUGGGCGACAAAAGCGAAACUCCAUUUCAAAAACAAACAAACAAAAAAACCUCUGUGUGAUCUUAUAAAAAUGAGGCCGGGUGCAGUUGCUAACAUCUGUAAUCCCAGCACUUUGGGAGGCCAAAGCGGGUGGAUCACAAGGUCAAGAGAUCAACACCAUCCUGGCCAACGUGGUGAAACCCCCUCUCUACUAAAAUACAAAGAUUAGCCAGCAUGGUGGCGGGCACCUGUAGUCCCAUAUACCAGGGAGGCAGAGGCAGGAGAACCACUAGAACCUGGGAGGUGAAGUUUGCGGUGAGCGAAGAUUGUGCCACUGCAUUCCAGCCUGGGCGACAGAGCGAUACUCCAUCUCAAAAAAAAAAAAAAAAAAUGAAUACUCCCUAUGGCUUUUCAUCCCUUAGAGUGUGCUUUUGUAAGUCUAUUGCCCUGUGUAGUUGUCAUUAAAUUAAUAUGCCAGAUAAAUAACAGAUGAACAGUGUUUAUGGAGCAUCACAAAAUCUCUUUGGCUGGAAACUUUUUUACAUGUGUCUUAAAAUCGCUAUAUUUUCUGUAGUCUGUAAGGAUCACAGAUGUAGCGAGAAAACCUAUGGAUAAAUAAAAGUCGGUUUACUAAGACAAAAUGAAUUACAUCUGGAUGCAAACAUUACAUAUGUGAUUUAUCUAUAUUAGCCAUGUACCCUUGGGAGUACAUGAAUGUAGAAACCUUAGCAUCUCAUAAAGAAGAAUUACAUUAAAGCUCCAAUAAGGGAAAACUGAUACACAUAAACAUCUGACUACUAAAAAAUUAAGAGUUAACAGUGAAACUUGCCCCUUAAGUCGAAACCUCUCAAAGUAAUGCUCAUUUAAAUGACAUUAUAUCACUGAUAAAGUAUCAACCAAAGUAUGCUUGUAAUAGAUAAUUUUAUUCCAUUACUUCUGAAUCUAAAUCUUGAGCAGAAAACCUUAACCUAAAGGAUCAGACUUCUAGUAGAAUCCUAGGAAACUGAAUUUGC